RNAcentral lists this ribosomal RNA (487 nucleotides) under uncultured bacterium. Its description in RNAcentral is "bacterial SSU rRNA". It matches the Rfam family "Bacterial small subunit ribosomal RNA", at positions 26 to 507 of the family's 1533-position model. The record is from RNAcentral.
AGUUGAUCCGUGGCGUACGAGGACGAACGCUGGCGGCGUGCUUAACACAUGCAAGUCGAACGAUGAACCGGAGCUUGCUCCGGGGAUUAGUGGCGAACGGGUGAGUAACACGUGGGCAACCUGCCCCAGACACCGGGAUAACCUUCCGAAAGGAUGGCUAAUACCGGAUACGACCACUUCGGGCAUCCGACGGUGGUGGAAAGGAUUCUGGUCUGGGAUGGGCCCGCGGCCUAUCAGCUUGUUGGUGGGGUAAUGGCCUACCAAGGCGACGACGGGUAGCCGGCCUGAGAGGGCGACCGGCCACACUGGGACUGAGACACGGCCCAGACUCCUACGGGAGGCAGCAGUGGGGAAUAUUGCGCAAUGGGCGAAAGCCUGACGCAGCGACGCCGCGUGAGGGACGAAGGUCUUCGGAUUGUAAACCUCUUUCAGCAGGGACGAAGCGAAAGUGACUGUACCUGCAGAAGAAGCACCGGCUAACUACGUG